AAUGGAAGGGGAAAAAAAAAAGGAAUUAAAAUUUCAAAUACCACUUCUACGGUUUAGCAAUUUUUUAUUUUAGUACCCUGCGAUUUAAAGUGUAUCAAUUUAGUAUCCAGUGAUUUCAUUUUUCUUUUUUUAUUAUCUCCUUCACUAAUUUUUUUUCUAAAGUGAAUAUUCGAUAAAUCUAGGUGGGGUAUCUGAAAUUUUUUGUAUAUAAUUUAACGAAAUAUUAACAGAGGAGCUGAUGAAAAGAGGAAAAUGAAAUCACAAAUACUAAAUUGAUACACUUUAAAUUACAUGGUACUAAAAUAAAAAAAUGUGAAACCACAGGGUGACAUUUGAAGUUUACCCAAAAAAAAGAAAAGAAAAAAGA
RNAcentral lists this long non-coding RNA (367 nucleotides) under Ananas comosus (pineapple). RNAcentral describes it as "long non-coding RNA (ACOM_LNC009945)". Lineage: Eukaryota; Viridiplantae; Streptophyta; Magnoliopsida; Poales; Bromeliaceae. The record is from RNAcentral.